UACGUAGGUGACAAGCGUUGUCCGGAUUUACUGGGCGUAAAGAGCGCGCAGGCGGUCGUUCAAGUCGAGUGUGAAAGCCCCCGGCUCAACUGGGGAGGGUCAUUCGAUACUGAUCGACUCGAAGGCAGGAGAGGGAAGUGGAAUUCCCGGUGUAGUGGUGAAAUGCGUAGAUAUCGGGAGCAACACCAGUGGCGAAGGCGACUUCCUGGCCUGUUCUUGACGCUGAGGCGCGAAAGCUAGGGGAGCAAACGGG
This 253-nucleotide ribosomal RNA is filed under the name uncultured bacterium. Its description in RNAcentral is "partial 16S ribosomal RNA". It matches the Rfam family "Bacterial small subunit ribosomal RNA", at positions 524 to 776 of the family's 1533-position model. The record is from RNAcentral.